This is a long non-coding RNA of Sorghum bicolor (sorghum), 623 nucleotides long. RefSeq lists it as uncharacterized. The record is from RefSeq and is a predicted model, not a curated record. The transcript has 2 exons. Lineage: Eukaryota; Viridiplantae; Streptophyta; Magnoliopsida; Poales; Poaceae.
AGCACCUUGGCAGAGUGCAAGCUCAUCUGACGGCAUGCUGUUCGAACCUCCAAGCAUAGCUCCGGAUGCGCUUCAGGAUACUGUGAGCAGGGAAAUUAAAGGCUGUAGGAAGCAAGAGCCUCCAUUGAAGAAGCGCACUGGCGAGAAAGAGCACCGAGCUUCUGGUAGUGGCUCCAUGGGUGCCGGAAUAUGAAUUUGCCAUGGCAAGGCUCCCACUUGGCAAAAUUGCACUGCAGUUUUUGGGAACACACAUGCCAUUGGAUCAGAUUGUUAUACUUGUAUGUAUUUUUGGAUUCAGGAGCUUAAUUUGGUGCUCUGCAUAAAGUGCACGCAUGGUUUGCAAAGUGAGGUUGAGCUUAUUAUUACCAAAGAGUCCUCGGUGGCCUUGGAAUUGAGGACGCUCUUGUACACUUGGAGAAAGGGUUUAGCUUCCAAAUUCUCGAAUGUAGCGUUCUCUCUGAAGCAUUCAGAUUCGAUUCCUGCAUACGUAUGUGUACAGCUUUUAGUCCCAAAUUCUAGCAUGUUCCUUGCUUGGUCGACAGUAGAUUUCAUAAAUUAUAAUUGCUUUUCUCUGACUAAGACAUAGUACUCAACUUUGAAGGUCUAUAUGCUACUGUUUGUCA